This 208-nucleotide long non-coding RNA is filed under the name Manihot esculenta (cassava). RNAcentral describes it as "long non-coding RNA (MESC_LNC009859)". The record is from RNAcentral. Lineage: Eukaryota; Viridiplantae; Streptophyta; Magnoliopsida; Malpighiales; Euphorbiaceae.
UGUGCAUAGAAGAGUUGAGUUUCUGCCAUUAUGGGAGAAACCAGGUUCGGCAGCCGAAGGAACUUUCGGCCGCCGAACAUGCUUGUGGAAGCAGCCUUCGGCUGCCGAAGCUUGCCCCCGAAAGGAGACUUUCGUCUCUGUCUGGGAGUUUCGGCCGCCGAAAGUGCCGCCGAACAUGCAUGAGUUUCGCCUCUGUCUGGGAGUUUCG